This 406-nucleotide ribosomal RNA is filed under the name uncultured bacterium. RNAcentral describes it as "partial 16S ribosomal RNA". It matches the Rfam family "Bacterial small subunit ribosomal RNA", at positions 30 to 526 of the family's 1533-position model. The record is from RNAcentral.
AUUGAACGCUGGCGGCAGGCCUAACACAUGCAAGUCGAACGAGUGGCGGACGGGUGAGUAAUGUCUGGGAAACUGCCUGAUGGAGGGGGAUAACUACUGGAAACGGUAGCUAAUACCGCAUACCAUCGGAUGUGCCCCGAUGGGAUUAGCUAGUAGGUGGGGUAACGGCGCACCUAGGCGACGAUCCCUAGCUUGUCUGAGAGGAUGACCAGCCACACUGGAAAGAAGACACGGUCCAGACACCAACGUGAGGCGGCAGUGGGGAAUAUUGCACAAUGGGCGCAAGCCUGAUGCAGCCAUGCCGCGUGUAUGAAGAAGGCCUUCGGGUUGUAAAGUACUUUCAGCGGGGAGGCGUUACCCGCAGAAGAAGCACCGGCUAACUCCGUGCCAGCAGACGCGGUAAUAC